AUUAAGGCCAAUCAUACUAGGUCAAGAAGAGAUGUGGGCAUAGGACUGUUGUUUCUUGGAUUUCUUAGUGCAGCAGGAAGUACAAUGGGCGCAGCGUCAAUAGCGCUGACGGCACAGGCCAGAGGAUUACUCUCUGGUAUUGUACAGCAGCAACAAAACCUGCUUCAGGCCAUAGAAGCGCAACAACACUUGUUGCAGCUCUCUGUAUGGGGCAUUAAGCAGCUCCAGGCCAGAAUGCUUGCAGUAGAGAAAUACAUAAGAGACCAACAGCUCCUAAGCCUCUGGGGAUGUGCUAACAAAUUGGUGUGUCACAGUAGUGUGCCAUGGA
Molecule: regulatory RNA element, 328 nt
Rfam family: HIV Rev response element
About the family: The Rev response element (RRE) is encoded within the HIV-env gene. Rev is an essential regulatory protein of HIV that binds an internal loop of the RRE leading, encouraging further Rev-RRE binding. This RNP complex is critical for mRNA export and hence for expression of the HIV structural proteins.
Source: Rfam